Long non-coding RNA from Urocitellus parryii (Arctic ground squirrel), 373 nucleotides. RefSeq lists it as uncharacterized. Lineage: Eukaryota; Metazoa; Chordata; Mammalia; Rodentia; Sciuridae. The record is from RefSeq and is a predicted model, not a curated record.
CCUCACCGCGGCCAUCUUGACCCGCCCGUCCGGGCGGCGGGCGAAGCCGGAAAGAUGGAACACAUCCUGACCUGGGCUUGCUGCUCAUUUAAUGAGUAACUGAGUGUUUUUCACAUUUGGCAGAGAUGAUUGUCUCCUAUUCUUUUCCUGAGGUGUCUUGUCUUCUUUGGGCGACAGGAAAAUGUUGAACUGGCUAGUGUGACAUGUUAAAUAAUCAUGUUUACUAACAUUUUUGUUUCGAAUAAGUAUGCUGUGGAAAACUGAUUCAUGAGACAUACCUUAAUGUAAUUGCAUACUUUUAGCACAUUAAGUACAAUAUUUAGUAUAAUUGUAAAAAAGCAUGAUUUCUGAAUAAAUGUUAACUGUUAUACAU